GGCAAGAUGGCCGAGUGGUCUAAGGCGUAGCAUUAAGGAAGAUAUUCUGAGCAUUCAGGAAAAUCUGCUAUCUUCGGGCGUGGGUUCGAAUCCCACUCUUGUCA
This 104-nucleotide transfer RNA is filed under the name Sporisorium reilianum f. sp. reilianum. RNAcentral's name for it is "transfer RNA-Leu(AAG)". It matches the Rfam family "tRNA". Rfam says of the family: Transfer RNA (tRNA) molecules are approximately 80 nucleotides in length. Their secondary structure includes four short double-helical elements and three loops (D, anti-codon, and T loops). The record is from RNAcentral. Lineage: Eukaryota; Fungi; Basidiomycota; Ustilaginomycetes; Ustilaginales; Ustilaginaceae.